Molecule: small nuclear RNA, 18 nt
Filed under: Arabidopsis thaliana (thale cress)
Lineage: Eukaryota; Viridiplantae; Streptophyta; Magnoliopsida; Brassicales; Brassicaceae
Description: snRNA_11672
Source: RNAcentral
AAAAACAAAAGAAGAAAG